UUGUAGCCACAAUGACCAAGUAGAUGUCUUUUGGAUUCGUUUUUUGCCUCGAAGAGGAUGCAGCCUUCACGUUGAAGGAGAACCUAGCUGUGGAUUCAGUCCUUUAUGACCUGCCAAAGGAAGCAUUUGAAGAAGAGAAACAUCGAGAUCUUUAUGUAGUAAUAAAACCUAAAAAUAUAAGCAGCUAAAAGCAACCAACAAGAGAAAAGGGAAGAAUAAUGUACUUGCGAUGAGGCACGAAAAUUUGUCCGUAGAUUCUUGUCAAUCAUCUCCCUGUGCCAUCUCCGUAUAUGGAUCAGUGACAACAUCUUCAUGCUGAGCUACUGCCUAUGGACAACGCCUUCAUACUAUUUACAUGACCGCAUCAUUUGUUCUAAAUUCUUUUGGAAAUAUAAAUUAUUGCGUAGGUGCAAAUACACAAGUAAGUAACGUAGAAGGAAACAAACAAGCAUACAGUCUUGAUAGUAGGACGACAUCAUCGAAUCCCUGCUCCAAAUAGCUUCUUUACUCU
Molecule: long non-coding RNA, 511 nt
Filed under: Musa acuminata (dwarf banana)
Lineage: Eukaryota; Viridiplantae; Streptophyta; Magnoliopsida; Zingiberales; Musaceae
Description: long non-coding RNA (MACU_LNC009273)
Source: RNAcentral